UGACACAGGCCUAGAUGCUGAGGUUCUGCAGGGACCACGGCCCUUGAAGACCCUGACUCCCUGUGCGAGCUUUCCCUCUCGUCUCCUCGUCGCCCUCCACUUGGCAAGCUGGCUGCCCCAGAGCGUGGGUGUGCAUGAUGGAGAUGGGAAGAGAGACAGCAGAGGGCGCCAUGGGAUGGGAUUUCCAGGAUACCCUGGAUAAUCAGGUUUCUUACAUGUGUCAGUGGCUGGUUCUCCUGCAACAGAUGCAACUUCUGAUUCUGGUCCAGACCACCUGCCUCCAACACCAACGCAAAGUGCUCGAUGUAGCGCAGUGAAAGACGGUCCUGCAGGGAGGAGAUCACAUCCUGGAGGAAAUGAGAUGGAAGCAGAUGAGAGACUGGGAUACGCUGCCUCACGUCUAUGGAACAACAGAGAACGGAGUGGGUUAGAAAAUGCCA
Long non-coding RNA from Oreochromis aureus, 440 nucleotides. RefSeq lists it as uncharacterized. Lineage: Eukaryota; Metazoa; Chordata; Actinopteri; Cichliformes; Cichlidae. The transcript is spliced from 4 exons. The record is from RefSeq and is a predicted model, not a curated record.